AUUGAACGCUGGCGGCAGGCCUAACACAUGCAAGUCGAGCGGAUGAAGGGAGCUUGCUCCUGGAUUCAGCGGCGGACGGGUGAGUAAUGCCUAGGAAUCUGCCUGGUAGUGGGGGAUAACGUCCGGAAACGGGCGCUAAUACCGCAUACGUCCUGAGGGAGAAAGUGGGGGAUCUUCGGACCACACGCUAUCAGAUGAGCCUAGGUCGGAUUAGCUAGUUGGUGGGGUAAAGGCCUACCAAGGCGACGAUCCGUAACUGGUCUGAGGGGAUGACCAGUCACACUGGACCUGAGACCCGUUCCAGCCUCCUACGGGAGGCAGCGGUGGGAAAUAUUGGACAAUGGGCGAAAGCCUGCUCCAGCCAGGCCGCGGGGGUGAAGAAGGUCUUCGGAUUGUAAAGCACUUUAAGUUGGGAGGAAGGGUAGUAAGUUAAUACCUUGCUGUUUUGACGUGACCAACAGAAUAAGCACCGGCUAACUUCGU
This 483-nucleotide ribosomal RNA is filed under the name uncultured bacterium. Its description in RNAcentral is "partial 16S ribosomal RNA". It matches the Rfam family "Bacterial small subunit ribosomal RNA", at positions 30 to 506 of the family's 1533-position model. The record is from RNAcentral.